GGAUGACAUGCACUCCUGUUACUGUACUGUAUAUAAGGAAAGCUCAACAUUCAUAGCAACUCAAAAACCUCCUCGACUCUCUGUGAGAUAAACUGCUGAAGGUGCAAAGAUUUGAAGUGUGAUCACUGUAACCAUGCUGAAGCUAGCUCUUGUGCUUGGAUGCCUCCUGAGCCUGGCUCUGGCUCGUCCUAAUGACAUGGAGCAUAAACGACUUGCUCGUUCAAGCUCAUCUGAGUCAAAUUCAGGAGAG
Gymnodraco acuticeps is the source of this 250-nucleotide long non-coding RNA. RefSeq lists it as uncharacterized. NCBI's taxonomy places the organism in Eukaryota, Metazoa, Chordata, Actinopteri, Perciformes, Bathydraconidae. The record is from RefSeq and is a predicted model, not a curated record. The transcript has 3 exons.